This 481-nucleotide ribosomal RNA is filed under the name uncultured bacterium. RNAcentral describes it as "partial 16S ribosomal RNA". It matches the Rfam family "Bacterial small subunit ribosomal RNA", at positions 28 to 507 of the family's 1533-position model. The record is from RNAcentral.
GAUGAACGCUGGCGGCGUGCUUAACACAUGCAAGUCGAACGAAGCAUUUAGGACAGAUUACUUCGGUUUGAAGUUCUUUAUGACUGAGUGGCGGACGGGUGAGUAACGCGUGGGUAACCUGCCUUGUACUGGGGGAUAGCAGCUGGAAACGGCUGGUAAUACCGCAUAAGCGCACAAUGUUGCAUGACAUGGUGUGAAAAACUCCGGUGGUAUAAGAUGGACCCGCGUCUGAUUAGCUAGUUGGUGAGAUAACAGCCCACCAAGGCGACGAUCAGUAGCCGACCUGAGAGGGUGACCGGCCACAUUGGGACUGAGACACGGCCCAGACUCCUACGGGAGGCAGCAGUGGGGAAUAUUGCACAAUGGAGGAAACUCUGAUGCAGCGACGCCGCGUGAGUGAAGAAGUAAUUCGUUAUGUAAAGCUCUAUCAGCAGGGAAGAUAGUGACGGUACCUGACCAAGAAGCGCCGGCUAAAUACGUG